Molecule: long non-coding RNA, 703 nt
Organism: Paramisgurnus dabryanus
Lineage: Eukaryota; Metazoa; Chordata; Actinopteri; Cypriniformes; Cobitidae
Source: RefSeq, a predicted model, not a curated record
AGCACCAAUUAUGCUAAUAAAUGAGCACGUUAGCACGUUAUUGUAAUAUCCCAUAGUACAUACAUGUUAUUAAAACUUGAACUAAUGCACUGUGAGUCUUAUAAAUUGCUUACAUACCUCACCGAUUUCCCACUGUCUGGAAAACGCUCGGUUUAGUUCCUGUCUCCGCCUCCCAAAAUGUCUAGUGUAUUCGGAUUGGUCAGAUGACUACUCAACUGUUAUUGGUCAACUGGGUUCGGCGUGUGUUUGAAAGGUUACGCCCCUGACUACGCGUGGGUUUUCCGGUUCUGACUGAGAGUCACAGGCAACGUAAACAAGCGCUAUAUUUCUCUAUAAACGAUGGUGUCUGUACUGCCUUACCACUUCAAGCUCGAUCCAGAGAGUUCAGACGGCGUUACGAUAUAAACGAUCUCCGUCAAUUAACGCGAUUGGAUUUAACUUUUUUAGGUGUCCUUAGCUCUGCCAGAAUGCUAAACGAAGACGAAAAUGUGUUGCAAAGACAUCCAAAAGGUUUUAAGGAGAAUGCAACAGGUUCCAGGGCCUCUUACCUGCGUGAUUCAUCAUCCAGAUACGCUUGGAGCUUCCUGAUCAGAUCGGUCACAAUUUUGGCUUUCGAUGACCCCUGCACUGAAGAUGGCAUGCAAUCACGUCCUCCUUUGAAGGUCUCUCAAACUGUGAUGCCAGGUCCAUUGGAAUCGGGGUU